UUAAGGAAAUAUUUGUAUGGAAUGGGAUCAUUUGUGUACGUUUGCCGCUAGGGGCGCUGUUCCAACUGCAUACAAAGUUGGGCUA
This 85-nucleotide microRNA precursor is filed under the name Bombyx mori (domestic silkworm). Its description in RNAcentral is "mir-2807 microRNA precursor family". It matches the Rfam family "mir-2807 microRNA precursor family". Lineage: Eukaryota; Metazoa; Arthropoda; Insecta; Lepidoptera; Bombycidae. The record is from Rfam by way of RNAcentral.